AAGGAAUUGGCGGGGGAGCACCACAACAGGUGGAGCAUGCGGUUUAAUUGGACUCAACGCCGGGAAGCUCACCGGAUAGGACAGCAGAAUGAUUGCCGGGCUGAAGACCCUGCAUGACUAGCUGAGAGGAGGUGCAUGGCCGUCGUCAGUUCGUAUUGUGAAGCAUCCUGUUAAGUCAGGCAACGAGCAAGACCCACGCCAACAGUUGCCAGCAUGGUCUCCGGACUGAUGGGGACACUGUUGGGACCGCCUCUGCUAAAGAGGAGGAAGGAAUGGGCAACGGUAGGUCAGCAUGCCCCGAAUUAUCCGGGCUACACGCGGGCUACAAUGGGCAGGACAAUGGGCAUCGACACCGUGAGGUGGAGGCAAUCUCCUAAACCUGUCCUUAGUUCGGAUUGUGGGCUGAAACUCGCCCACAUGAAGCUGGAAUCUGUAGUAAUCGCGUUUCAAAAUAACGCGGUGAAUUUGUCCCUGCUCCUUGCACACACCGCCCGUCAAACCACCCGAGUGGGGUUUGGAUGAGGUUACGGUCGUUGCCGUAGUCGAAUCUAGGUUCAACAAGGGGGGUUAAGUCGUUUCAUGGUANCC
Molecule: ribosomal RNA, 588 nt
Filed under: uncultured archaeon
Lineage: Archaea
Description: bacterial SSU rRNA
Rfam family: Archaeal small subunit ribosomal RNA
Source: RNAcentral